Molecule: ribosomal RNA, 460 nt
Filed under: uncultured bacterium
Lineage: Bacteria
Description: partial 16S ribosomal RNA
Rfam family: Bacterial small subunit ribosomal RNA
Source: RNAcentral
CCUACGGGAGGCAGCAGUGAGGAAUAUUGGUCAAUGGACGAGAGUCUGAACCAGCCAAGUAGCGUGAAGGAUGACUGCCCUAUGGGUUGUAAACUUCUUUUAUAUGGGAAUAAAAUGUUCCACGUGUGGGAUUUUGUAUGUACCAUAUGAAUAAGGAUCGGCUAACUCCGUGCCAGCAGCCGCGGUAAUACGGAGGAUCCGAGCGUUAUCCGGAUUUAUUGGGUUUAACGGGAGCGUAGGUGGAUUGUUAAGUCAGUUGUGAAAGUUUGCGGCUCAAACGUAAAAUUGCAGUUGAAACUGGCAGGCUUGAGUACAGUAGAGGUGGGCGGAAUUCGUGGUGUAGCGGUGAAAUGCUUAGAUAUCACGAAGAACUCCGAUUGCGAAGGCAGCUCACUGGACUGCAACUGACACUGAGGCUCGAAAGUGUGGGUAUCAAACAGGAUUAGAUACCCGGGUAGUC